This 69-nucleotide transfer RNA is filed under the name Rattus norvegicus (Norway rat). It matches the Rfam family "tRNA". Rfam says of the family: Transfer RNA (tRNA) molecules are approximately 80 nucleotides in length. The record is from Rfam by way of RNAcentral. Lineage: Eukaryota; Metazoa; Chordata; Mammalia; Rodentia; Muridae.
GGGGAUUUGGCUCAGUGGUAGAGCACUUGCUUAGCAAGCACAAGGCCCUGGGUUCAGUCCCCAGCUCCG